CCAACGUGGGCAUCCAGUGAGGUGGCUCUCAUUUGGCUCUGUCCAAGUGGCAUAUGGGAGCCUAGCUUCCUAAGGGAGCAGUGAGGUAUAGUCCCAUUCCACAAUGUUGGAGAGAAAGAUUUCACCCCUUGACUGAAAAUGUUGACGGGGAAGGCGUCCUGUAUAUUCCUACAACUCCUCAGUGCUUGCCAUUGCUGAGAAGACAAACCAUGCAGGGCACAAGC
RNAcentral lists this small nucleolar RNA (224 nucleotides) under Salvator merianae (Argentine black and white tegu). RNAcentral's name for it is "Small nucleolar RNA SNORA73 family (ENSSMRG00000006526.1)". It matches the Rfam family "Small nucleolar RNA SNORA73 family". From Rfam's summary of the family: U17 (SNORA73A and SNORA73B) also known as E1 belongs to the H/ACA class of small nucleolar RNAs (snoRNAs). Vertebrate U17 is intron-encoded and ranges in length from 200-230 nucleotides, longer than most snoRNAs. It is one of the most abundant snoRNAs in human cells and is essential for the cleavage of pre-rRNA within the 5' external transcribed spacer (ETS). The record is from Rfam by way of RNAcentral. Lineage: Eukaryota; Metazoa; Chordata; Lepidosauria; Squamata; Teiidae.